AACACAUGCAAGUCGAGCGCCCUCGCAAGAAGGGAGCGGCGGACGGGUGAGUAACGCGUGGGAAUUUUCCUCAAGUACGGAACAACUCAGGGAAACUUGGGCUAAUACCGUAUGAUGUCUAGCGACCAAAGAUUUAUCGCCUUGGGAUAAGCCCGCGUCAGAUUAGGUAGUUGGUGGGGUAACGGCCUACCAAGCCUGCGAUCUGUAGCUGGUCUGAGAGGACGAUCAGCCACACUGGGACUGAGACACGGCCCAGACUCCUACGGGAGGCAGCAGUGGGGAAUCUUGCGCAAUGGGCGAAAGCCUGACGCAGCCAUGCCGCGUGAAUGAUGAAGGUCUUAGGAUUGUAAAGUUCUUUCGCUCGUGACGAUGAUGACGGUAACGAGAGAAGAAG
Molecule: ribosomal RNA, 394 nt
Filed under: grassland soil clone saf3_122
Lineage: Bacteria
Description: bacterial SSU rRNA
Rfam family: Bacterial small subunit ribosomal RNA
Source: RNAcentral